This 3116-nucleotide long non-coding RNA is filed under the name Sus scrofa (pig). RNAcentral describes it as "lncRNA (ENSSSCG00005044356.1)". Lineage: Eukaryota; Metazoa; Chordata; Mammalia; Artiodactyla; Suidae. The record is from RNAcentral.
AGAUUUAUGGGAUGAUGUGAGAGUGGUCCAAUUUCUUAGGGACCAGUUGUUGGUAUGCUGGCCACUGGCCUGGGCAUUUCACAUUGAAGGUAAUGAUUAUGUUGGGUCUCACUGGCUUAUUUCCGAAAAGGGCAGGGUAUGUUCUUGAGGGAAGCAGUCUUUCUUUGUUCCUGGUGGAACAAAUAAGCACAGGACUAGCUAAAAAACUAAGUAAAGCAUGGGUGUAGUGACAAUGGGCACAUUGAAUGAGUUUCUUAUCUUUGCAGGUCUGAUCUUCUGGACCUGGAUGAGUCUUACUCUCUUACCCACUGAGUCAGGUGGACAGGUUGGAGGAAAACAGCCUCCAUGAUCUAGUGAACUGCUAGACAAGGUCAAUGCUAAAGAAACAUGCCUGUGCCUCCUCUGACCCACAGUGGAGUGCAGAAACAGGCAAAGACAGGAUUCUAUGCACAAGUGCACUCUUGCUCCAUCCUUGUUCUCCUCCUUUCUUUCUCCUGAAGACACUUAAGAGUGCCACUUACUGUGCCAGUUGGAUGUGCUGAUCAGCUAUCUUUUCUACUUCACUGAUUUCUUAAGGCCAAGAGACUAAGAUUUCCUCAGAAAUCAUGAAAGAUUUAGAAUGAGACAUGCCAGGGUUUGAAUCCUAACAGUAUCACUUAUUUGCUGCGUGACCUUGGCCAAUAAUUUAAACUCUCUGAGCCUUUGAUUCCAUGUCAUAAAAAAGAAAUAAUGUUAUCCUAUAUUGGCUUGUGAUGAAAAUGAACUGAGAUAAUGCUGUAAGACGUCUAGGGAAGUCUUAGUCCUGGUAAGUGGUCAGUAAACAGUAGUUUGGUCCCCUUCCUUGGCAAAACACUGGGACAUUGUGAACAUUUUUUAAGGGUCUGUUGUGUUAGAUAUUAGUGUUACUCUACAGUAUUUCUGAGUCUGUUCUGCUUCUGGGCACAUGGGAGAAUUGCAUUUCCCUCACCCCUUUAAGGUACUCAUGGCAGUAUGACUUGAUCUAACGAAUGCGAUGUAAGUAGAAGUCUUUAAGAACUCAAGUGUGAGUCUCCAUGACUCUUGUUCUCUGCCAAGGGAAUUGCAAAAUACUGUUGAUGUAAUGGCACCGUAAAAUGGAAAUCCGGGAACACCGAUCUAGCACAUGGAGGACCGUUGCUCCGUAGGUCUGCCCAGACCACACUCAUGGUAGACUUUAUGUGAUUAAGAAACAAAUCACCUAUAUCAGUAUUGGGAGAAAGAACAAAUUCCCCAAAACUAGUCCAGUCCUUCUCUGCUGACAGACCAGCAGGGUGAUGAUACAUGGUUGAAGGAAGGUACACACUGGGACUGAGAGGUGGUUUGUUACCGAAGCAUCAUCUAAACUCUUCUGACUGAUACGUAUACAGAGAUGUAUAAGAUGAAUCCGAAAAUGCUGCAAUAUAAAAACAAGAGCUCUGGGAGUUCCUUCUGUGGUGCAAUGGGUUAAAGAUCUGGUGUUGCUGCAGCUGUGGCAUAGGUCACAGCUGAGGCCUGGAUUCAAUCCCUGGCCUGGGAACUUCCGUAUGCCUUGGGUGUGGCCAUAAAAAAAUAAAAUAAUAAAAACAAAAGUUCGGAUAGAGGAAUGUUCAAAGUAAUGCAGGCCACCGAGAAGGGAGCCCCUGAUUCUGCUGGACUUGGCGAGGAGAGAACCAGAGAGGAGGUGGCAUUGGAGGGGACUGUGAGAGACAAAAGAGAGGGUCAAAUGAAAAGAUCUAAAGAACAAUGAUAGGUUCCCUACGUGGGAAGGGACAGCUGAACAGAGGCAGUGUGGGCAAAGGCACAGUAAAACGUCAUCGUGUCUUCUAGGACAAAGAAGAGCUAGCCUUCCUGGUAAACUUGUCCCCAGUUAAAGUUUGCCAUGUAGAACAUCAUUUCAUAGAACCUGCAAUACUUACUCGAUACAAUGCUUUCUACUAAUACUUAUAUAGGGAAAAUAUUAGGUAUAUGUUCCCCAAACUCCAUGCAUUUUUAAAUGAAGUGAUGAGGGACAGAGCUCAACAGAGAAAGUCUUUAGGUUUGUUCCAAAUAUAAUUGGUAGCAUAUCAGCGUUCACAGAAGACAACUGGAAAGUCUCUGAAUAUCAACUAAGGGGACCUAUAGCAUGUUAUGUAGAUAAAGUAGCCAUAUUAGUGGUUUAGGGACAAGAAGUAUGGUUUUAAAUAUUUUGCAUCCUUAUUUUUCCACAGUUUAUUGGAUAAAUAAACACAGAAAUAUCUAUUUUAAAAAAUUUUACAACCUGUAAGCUUGUUGCUUAUAUAUAGGCAUUUUACUGUGUUUUAUGUUUUGGAAAGUUGUUUGAGGAUUUUGAAUUUAGAUGUAAUACACUAAAACUUUGCCAUUUAAAAUAAUGGAAAUGGGGCUCCCAGUUGGCGUUUUCUUGCAAACAUUCAGUGAGAGAUGCCUGAAUUUCUGAAUGGCGGGGCUUGGAGGGGACAGAGGUCUAACCCGAGAAGGAGCUAGACCUGAGACAGCAGUGAGAUAGAGGUUUAUGCUCAGCAGUGACAUAUGGACAUGAGUUUAUUUUAUCAAUAGCCCUGACCUGACAGGUGUGGAGAGAGCCUGAGGUCGGGGACUGGUGAUCGCUGAGUCUAGAUGACAGGCAAGGGCCUCAGGUGAGGCAGCAGCGAUGGAAAGGGGAGUUGGAGAGGCAUUUCAGAGGCUGAACGGUGGAUGGAAGGGCACAGAGGCUAAAUAAAAGUCAGGGAGGUUUCCAGAUAGGUGAUGGGAAGGUAGUCAUGGUUAUAUGAGCCAAAUAGGGAACCUCAAAAGAAGAAGAGAAAGAAGGACAAGGAGGAACAGCCGCAGGCUUCAGGGGCUGAGGGUGGAUGACAAAGAGGGCCUUUGGAGUUCCCGUCGUGGCGCGUGGUUAACGAAUCCGACUAGGAACCAUGAGGUUGCGGGUUCGAUCCCUGCCCUUGCUCAGUGGGUUAACGAUCCGGCGUUGCCGUGAGCUGUGGUGUAGGUUGCAGACGCGGCUCGGAUCCCGCGUUGCUGUGGCUCUGGCGUAGGCCGGUGGCUACAGCUCCGAUUCAACCCCUAGCCUGGGAACCUCCAUAUGCCGCGGGAGCGGCCCAAGAAAUAGCAACAAUAACAACAAC